GUGAAGUUUUAUUCUUGCUUUUUCGUUCAAUGUUUGUUUGUUCUAUAUGUAAGUUUGUGCAUGAGUUGAAUUGUAGUUCUAGAUGGGCUAUAAAGCGUAUGGUUUGAUUCUCAUUAGUUGUUAUUGGUUGUUCAAGUAUUCUUGUAUCUAGCAAUAUAUUUUAGUUUCGGUUAAAUUUUGUGCCAGCAGCCGCGGUUAUACCUUGGAAGCAUUUGAAUGUGUUUGGCAUUAGGUAGUUAGAUUAUUGUGAUUUGUUGAUUGUAUUUUGUUUGUUGUUAGGUGAAAUUUUUAUUGUUUUGGUUUCAUUGUUUUUAUUUGGAGGCUAUGAAGCUCUUUUUGUAAACUAGGAUUAGAUACCCUAUUAUUUUAGAGUGUUAAUUGGUAUGUGCCUGAGUAGUAUUAGUUAUGUUCUUGAAACUUAAAGAAUUUGGCGGUAUCUCAUUCCGUCCAGAGGAAUCUGUCUCGUUAUCGAUAGUCCACGUUGGACCUUACUUAGUUGCUUUGGUUUGUAUACCGCCGUUUAUUGAUUAUCUUUUUAGGGUUUGUUUAAUUUUCUGGUUUCUUUAUUUUGAUUUAUUUCAGGUCAAGGUGCAGCUUGUUUCUAAGUGAAUGAUGGAUUACAUUGUUUAAUUUGUUUAUGGAUUAUUGAUUUUAAUAUUGGUAUGAAAUUGGAUUUGGUUGUAAUGAUUUGUAGACUGUUAUUAUGAUAAGUGGUUCUGGGAUAUGUACACAUCGCCCGUCGCUCUCGUUUUGUUGUUAAUGAGAUAAGUCGUAACAAAGUGGCUGUACCGGAAGGUGCAGCUGGAUUGAG
RNAcentral lists this non-coding RNA (811 nucleotides) under Microcerotermes sp. COL2012-T09. The record is from RNAcentral. Lineage: Eukaryota; Metazoa; Arthropoda; Insecta; Blattodea; Termitidae.